CGAGCUAGCUAGGUAAAUGUGGAGGAUGUUGAAGCUCAGAAUCAGCUUGGUCACAGGGUGCUGUCCAUUCCAGCGCAAAGAGUAGACCGUGUAGUGUCCUUUUGUGCAGCUAAAUCUCAAAACAAUGGCCCCUAAACCCCACAACAUUAUUUAGUCACCUUCGUAUUCUCUAACCCUUAUGAUAUCAUAGUCUACCUUCGUACAACCCUCGUUAAAAAUACUCAUAAGCGAAGUAAAAAAAUUCCUUAAAAAUGCGAACAAUCAAACAAGCGAGGGUUGUUACCAGAAAACUCAUCUCUAUUGCUGAAGUGCGCUGCUGUUCAGAGGAUGGAAACGAGGAACGUCGAUGACGACGAAGAAGCUCCAAAAGGCUCGCAGUCAUGGCUGCGCGAUUUGUGGAGCCAGAAAAAUACUACUACCCAGACUCCGCUUGCGAGAACAAUGU
Molecule: long non-coding RNA, 445 nt
Filed under: Micromonas commoda
Lineage: Eukaryota; Viridiplantae; Chlorophyta; Mamiellophyceae; Mamiellales; Mamiellaceae
Description: long non-coding RNA (MCOM_LNC000218)
Source: RNAcentral